UACUAGAGUAGCACUCGCAUAUCAAUAAGCGGAGGAAAAGAAACUAACAAGGAUUCCCCUAGUAACGGCGAGUGAAGCGGGAAGAGCUCAAAUUUGAAAUCUUAAAGGGUUUCCCUUUACGAAUUGUAGUUUAAAGAAGUGUUUUCUGUUGAGGUUUUGGUAAAAGUUCUUUGGAAUAGGACAUCAUAGAGGGUGAGAAUCCCGUAUUUGACCUUUACUUUCAACUUUGUGAUACACUUUCAAAGAGUCGGAUUGUUUGGGAAUGCAGUCCAAAAUGGGUGGUAAAUUUCAUCUAAAGCUAAAUAUUGGCGAGAGACCGAUAGCGAACAAGUACCGUGAGGAAAGAUGAAAAGAACUUUGAAAAGAGAGUUAAACAGUACGUGAAAUUGUCAAAAGGGAAGCGUUUGACACCAGUGUUGUUUUUCUGAAAAUCAAUUAAAGAACUGUUUAUGCUAAGCUGUUUAGACUUUAUCAGCUAAUCUGUUUAGUUUUGAGCUUUUCUUUAAUGCACUUUUCAGUUAACAAGUCAACAUCAAUUUCUUUUGCUGUAAAAAAGCUUGAGGAAGGUGGCUUGAGAUUCGUCUUAAGUGUUUAUAGCCUCUUGCCUAUGCAGUCGGAGAGAUUGAGGUCUGCAGCGUAGAUCCUUCGGGGCUAAAUGCAUUUGUGCUAAGUUAUAGCAUUUAUAGACAACUUGUUGACUAUGAUUUGUCUUGUAGCUUACUCGCUUAUGUUAUUUUACCUACGCUUAGGAUGUUGAGUAGCGACAUACGCAC
RNAcentral lists this ribosomal RNA (773 nucleotides) under uncultured Neocallimastigales. Its description in RNAcentral is "partial large subunit ribosomal RNA". It matches the Rfam family "Eukaryotic large subunit ribosomal RNA", at positions 20 to 649 of the family's 3401-position model. The record is from RNAcentral. Lineage: Eukaryota; Fungi; Neocallimastigomycota; Neocallimastigomycetes; Neocallimastigales.